RNAcentral lists this unclassified non-coding RNA (213 nucleotides) under plant metagenome. Its description in RNAcentral is "partial contains small subunit ribosomal RNA, internal transcribed spacer 1, and 5.8S ribosomal RNA". The record is from RNAcentral.
UUUCCGUAGGUGAACCUGCGGAAGGAUCAUUCAUAAUAAGUGUUUUAUGGCACUUUUUUAAAUCCAUAUCCACCUUGUGUGCAAUGUCAGGGUUGAUUUUUCUCUCGAGAGGAUCAACCCCAAACAUCAACUAUAUCUCAACUCUUUGUCUGAAAAAUAUUAUGAAUAAAACAAUUCAAAAUACGACUUUCAACAACGGAUCUCUUGGCUCUC